Long non-coding RNA from Xiphias gladius (swordfish), 920 nucleotides. RefSeq lists it as uncharacterized. The transcript has 3 exons. Lineage: Eukaryota; Metazoa; Chordata; Actinopteri; Istiophoriformes; Xiphiidae. The record is from RefSeq and is a predicted model, not a curated record.
AAGCCCAUACCUGGAGGCUGACCUCAUUUGUUGCAGCGCUGCAGCUCUGGACAAACGGACGUCACAUGACUGAGCCCCCUUCACUCCAUAUGGAACGAAACCCUCCCGCUACAGACCCUGCUGACCUUUAUUAUCACAGCAGCCAUUUUGAGCUUCGUGCUGGAGAGACCUACUUCUUCUAAACUUCCGCUGACCCCUUAAAAUCAGUUCCUACCUGCGACCCAGUCAGUGAAUUCCAGUGAGUGGUGAAGAGAUUUUCCCUCCUCAGAAUGUUUCAACUAAAUAUUUUUUGGAGGUGAAACAGAGGGUCGGGGACCCCUGCCUCCAUGUGACUUCAAUACAAAAGUGAGAAUAACAGAUGGACUUAACACUCUGUCCAGGCUCAAUCGCCGUUUUAAGAUCCACUACAGUAACCGAGGGACCUUGAAGUGAUGACAGAUAACUGAGCAGCGGGAUUCAGCAGUAUAACAUGAUAUUAUUUCUAACCCAUCCCCUGUGGUCUGACAUCCCAUCAGAGAUGACCUCAUCCCUACCUCAGCCCCAGUGUAUGAUGGGAUAGGGAGCAGUGCUCUGUGUCUGAUUGGAGGAUAAGUCACUGCUGAGACGUCCCCGUGACUCAUCCCAGCUGACAUUAUUCAAGAUGAAAGUCAGACUUGCUGCUUGUCAUGCUUUCGCUAAUGACUGGAGGAAAAGAGAAGGAAGAAGUUCAAAGAAAGGAAAGAAAAACCUCAUAUUAUUUAUGCUCUGAGCAGUUAAUGGAAUUACUGGGAAUGAAUUCAAUAUGUAAACUCAUGGUGCAAGAUGAGUGAACGUCAUGUGUCUGUAAUUUUGCAUAGAUCAUCUAUAAAACUACAUUAGGGUAUGGUAUUUGUUCCCCCUUAUGUGUUUUCUACAUGAAAAGUUUGUUUUCAAAACUGAGU